UAUACGACCGUACCGCAAACCGACACUGGUGCGCGAGAUGAGUAUUCUAAGGCGCUUGAGAGAACUCAGGAGAAGGAACUCGGCAAAUUGACACCGUAACUUCGGAAGAAGGUGUGCCCUAUUAGUGUGUAGUGAACAACGAAGCAUGAAUGGGUUGCAAAAAAUCGGUGGCUGCGACUGUUUAUUAAAAACACAGCACUCUGCAAACACGAAAGUGGACGUAUAGGGUGUGACGCCUGCCCGGUGCUGGAAGAUUAAAUGAUGGGGUGCAAGCUCUUGAUUGAAGUCCCAGUAAACGGCGGCCGUAACAAUAACGGUCCUAAGGUAGCGAAAUUCCUUGUCGGGUAAGUUCCGACCUGCACGAAUGGCGUAACGAUGGCCACACUGUCUCCUCCUGAGACUCAGCGAAGUUGAAAUGUUUGUGAUGAUGCAAUCUCCCCGCGGAAAGACGGAAAGACCCCAUGAACCUUUACUGUAGCUUUGUAUUGGACUUUGAACAGAUCUGUGUAGGAUAGGUGGGAGGCUUUGAAGCAGGGUCGCUAGAUCUUGUGGAGCCAACGUUGAAAUACCACCCUGGUGUGUUUGAGGUUCUAACCUAGGUCCAUUAUCUGGAUCGGGGACAGUGCAUGGUAGGCAGUUUGACUGGGGCGGUCUCCUCCCAAAGCGUAACGGAGGAGUUCGAAGGUACGCUAGUUACGGUCGGACAUCGUGACGAUAGUGCAAUGGCAUAAGCGUGCUUAACUGCGAGACUGACAAGUCGAGCAGAUGCGAAAGCAGGACAUAGUGAUCCGGUGGUUCUGUAUGGAAGGGCCAUCGCUCAACGGAUAAAAGGUACUCUGGGGAUAACAGGCUGAUACCGCCCAAGAGUUCAUAUCGACGGCGGUGUUUGGCACCUCGAUGUCGGCUCAUCUCAUCCUGGGGCUGUACCCGGUCCCAAGGGUUUGGCUGUUCGCCAUUUAAAGAGGUACGUGAGCUGGGUUUAAAACGUCGUGAUACAGUUUGGUCCCUAUCUUCCGUGGGCGCUGCAGAUUUGAGGAAGCCUGCUCCUAGUACGAGAGGACCGGAGUGGACACACCUCUGGUGUAUCGGUUGUCACGCCAGUGGCAUUGCCGAGUAGCUAAGUGUGGAAGAGAUAACCGCUGAGAGCAUCAAAGCGGGAAACUCGUUUCAAGAUGAGAUCUGCCGGGGCCUUGAGCCCCCUAAAGAGUCGUUCAAGACCAGGACGUUGAUAGGUCAGGUGUGGAAGCG
Molecule: ribosomal RNA, 1248 nt
Filed under: metagenome
Description: bacterial LSU rRNA
Rfam family: Bacterial large subunit ribosomal RNA
Source: RNAcentral